AUAAUGUUGGAAAGUCAUGGUCCAUGCAUACCGUAACAAUACAUGACCUCCUGUUUCUGGCCCUAAGGAUGCUGUAUUUCAAUUGCUCUGUCUCAGGCAGGGAAUGUGGUAACAGGAGAGAUGGUAGAAGAGCUCAUCCUUUCUGGGGCUGACAUCAUCAAAGUGGGAAUUGGGCCAGGCUCUGUGUGUACUACUCGGAAGAAAACUGGAGUGGGGUAUCCACAGCUCAGCGCAGUGAUGGAGUGUGCAGAUGCUGCUCAUGGCCUCAAAGGCCACAUCAUUUCAGAUGGAGGUUGCAGCUGUCCUGGGGAUGUGGCCAAGGCUUUUGGUAAGGAGCUUGAGGGCACAGAAGGAUGAUUCUAUACAAGAGGAUGAAUCACCUCUGAGGGUCUAGGGUCAGGCUAAGAGAGGCUCAGGAAGUCAUUCAGAUUCUUUCAUAAUAUGAAUUAGUGACUCCGAAGUCUAUGGUAUCAUCUGGGGCAGCCAGCAGGGGACAUCUGAGACUCCAAGUGUGGGCCAGGGCCAUCUGACCAUCUCCUAGAUUGCUGCACAGUGCAGACUCCUGAGCCCCAGCCAUACCUAAAAAUAGGCUCUGAGGAAUGGGACAGCACAUCUGCAUUUUUCAUUUUGCACAGCUUCCCAGGAGAUCAUUACUCCCAUUAAAGUUGGGGAUCUUUGCUCUUGGGACACAUGAAAUGAGUCUUAUUUAGCUGGGCACA
Molecule: unclassified non-coding RNA, 719 nt
Filed under: Homo sapiens (human)
Lineage: Eukaryota; Metazoa; Chordata; Mammalia; Primates; Hominidae
Description: guanosine monophosphate reductase 2 (ENSG00000284752.3)
Source: RNAcentral